RNAcentral lists this ribosomal RNA (253 nucleotides) under uncultured bacterium. RNAcentral's name for it is "partial 16S ribosomal RNA". It matches the Rfam family "Bacterial small subunit ribosomal RNA", at positions 524 to 776 of the family's 1533-position model. The record is from RNAcentral.
CACGAACCGUACGAACGUUAUUCGGAAUCACUGGGCUUAAAGAGUCCGUAGGCGGCCCUGUAAGUCAGAUGUGAAAUCCCACGGCUCAACCGUGGAACUGCGUUUGAAACUACAGGGCUUGAGGAAGGCAGAGGUGAGCGGAACUGAUGGUGGAGCGGUGAAAUGCGUUGAUAUCAUCAGGAACACCGGUGGCGAAGGCGGCUCACUGGGCCUUUUCUGACGCUGAGGGACGAAAGCUAGGGGAGCGAACGGG